This 300-nucleotide ribosomal RNA is filed under the name uncultured Archaeoglobus sp. RNAcentral describes it as "bacterial SSU rRNA". It matches the Rfam family "Bacterial small subunit ribosomal RNA", at positions 496 to 795 of the family's 1533-position model. Lineage: Archaea; Methanobacteriati; Methanobacteriota; Archaeoglobi; Archaeoglobales; Archaeoglobaceae. The record is from RNAcentral.
GCAAGUCCCGGUCCGGCGGCGGGGGUAAAACGGAGGGUGCAAGGGGUAUCCGGAUUAACUGGGUUUAAAGGGUGCGUAGGCUGGCAGGUAAGGCAGUGGUGAAAUCUCCGGGCUUAACCCGGAAACUGCCGUUGAUACUAUCUGGCUUGAAUAUCGUGGAGGUAAGCGGAAUAUGUCAUGUAGCGGUGAAAUGCUUAGAUAUGACAUAGAACACCCAUUGCGAAGGCAGCUUACUACACGAUCAUUGACGCUGAGGCACGAAAGCGUGGGGAGCAAACAGGAUUAGAUACCCCUGUAGUC